GGCCUGCUAGCGUACCAUGGAGUCGAGCGGUAACAGGGGUAGCUUGCUACCCGCUGACGAGCGGCGGACGGGUGAGUAAUGCAUAGGAAUCUACCCGGUAGUGGGGGAUAACCUGGGGAAACCCAGGCUAAUACCGCAUACGUCCUACGGGAGAAAGGGGGCUUUGGCUCCCGCUAUCGGAUGAGCCUAUGCCGGAUUAGCUGGUUGGUGAGGUAAUGGCUCACCAAGGCGACGAUCCGUAGCUGGUCUGAGAGGAUGAUCAGCCACAUCGGGACUGAGACACGGCCCGAACUCCUACGGGAGGCAGCAGUGGGGAAUAUUGGACAAUGGGCGAAAGCCUGAUCCAGCCAUGCCGCGUGUGUGAAGAAGGCCCUCGGGUUGUAAAGCACUUUCAGUGAGGAAGAACGCCUGUCGGUUAAUACCCGGCAGGAAAGACAUCACUCACAGAAGAAGCACCGGCUAACUCCGUGCCAGCAGCCGCGGUAAUACGGAGGGUGCAAGCGUUAAUCGGAAUUACUGGGCGUAAAGCGCGCGUAGGUGGCUUGAUAAGCCGGUUGUGAAAGCCCCGGGCUCAACCUGGGAACGGCAUCCGGAACUGUC
Molecule: ribosomal RNA, 600 nt
Filed under: Vreelandella subterranea
Lineage: Bacteria; Pseudomonadati; Pseudomonadota; Gammaproteobacteria; Oceanospirillales; Halomonadaceae
Description: bacterial SSU rRNA
Rfam family: Bacterial small subunit ribosomal RNA
Source: RNAcentral